This 284-nucleotide ribosomal RNA is filed under the name Mirocaris fortunata. RNAcentral's name for it is "partial 16S ribosomal RNA". The record is from RNAcentral. Lineage: Eukaryota; Metazoa; Arthropoda; Malacostraca; Decapoda; Alvinocarididae.
AUGAAUGGUCGUACAAAAAAUAAUCUGUCUCAUCUGCAAAAGUGAAAUUUUACUUUUGAGUGAAAAGGCUCAAAUAUACUAAGGGGACGAUAAGACCCUAUAAAACUUUAUAUAAAAGAAUUAAUUUUUAAAUUAUGGUAUAAGAGUGGAUUAGUUUUUGUUUAUUAUGUUGGGGCGACAAGAAUACAAAUAGGUAACUGUUUGAGAAUUAAAAUAAUUAUUUUUAGAGAUAUUGAUCCUUUUUUAAGGAUUAUAAGAAAAAGUUACUUUGGGGAUAACAGCGU